Molecule: ribosomal RNA, 449 nt
Filed under: uncultured bacterium
Lineage: Bacteria
Description: partial 16S ribosomal RNA
Rfam family: Bacterial small subunit ribosomal RNA
Source: RNAcentral
AGCGAACGCUGGCGGCAGGCCUAACACAUGCAAGUCGAACGGAUCCUUCGGGAUUAGUGGCGGACGGGUGAGUAACACGUGGGCACGUGCCCUUUGGUUCGGAACAACUCAGGGAAACUUGAGCUAAUACCGGAUGUGCCCUUCGGGGGAAAGAUUUAUCGCCAUUGGAGCGGCCCGCGUCUGAUUAGCUAGUUGGUGAGGUAAAGGCUCACCAAGGCGACGAUCAGUAGCUGGUCUGAGAGGAUGAUCAGCCACAUUGGGACUGAGACACGGCCCAAACUCCUACGGGAGGCAGCAGUGGGGAAUCUUGCGCAAUGGGCGAAAGCCUGACGCAGCCAUGCCGCGUGAAUGAUGAAGGUCUUAGGAUUGUAAAAUUCUUUCACCGGGGACGAUAAUGACGGUACCCGGAGAAGAAGCCCCGGCUAACUUCGUGCCAGCCGCCGCGGUAA